UGGGGGAAAAUUCCAUCUAAAAAUUGUUCUUAUGGAAAGCUUUAAGUCUGUGUUCCCCUCAGCUGUAAGGAGGAAAACAGAUAAAAACCUAGAGUCAAAACCUUAGGUCUUUAGUCUACAAGAAAAUGCAAACAUAAACUCCUCCAUAUACCUUAUUGACAGGCAUCAAUGCUGCACAAAUAAUUCCAUGGGGUCUAGGAACCUACACUUUAGAUUUCUUAUAUUUACCAUAAAGGAAUAAGUUUUGAGUGAAUUUGGGGUAACAAAUCCAUGGUGUGUGCCACGGUUCUUAGAGAAUCUAUAAACUUAGUAGAAAAGUGACAUUAAUGUAGGCCUUAUGAAAUCUUAAAUAGAGGUGUAAUAUCACAGAGUUAUUCUACUUCUGCUGUCUCUAAUCUAGUUUUAAUAAUAUUCUUUUUAGGGGGAAAUUUCAGAUAUGAAACAUGAUAUUUUAAGAACAACAAAAAAGAUAUUAAUGUAAAAACAGGGCUAAAUGCUUCCAACAUUUGAGGAAGAAAUCUGGUCAUUAACAAGGUAGUUAAUUUGAUUUUUAAGUAACUCAUGCAAGUAAUUUUGUUCUGCAAUAUGUUACAUAAGAUACUGUGAUAGUGUCUGAGAAGGCAUAAAAGUUUAAAAUCUAUAUUUAAAUUCUGACAUAUGCAAAUUUACACAUAUCCAAAUGAGAUGAUUAGACUAGUGUUAGAAUAUUUCUAAAUUUCUAUUUAAAUUUAUAAAUCCUAUUAAGAUAAAAGGUUUAGAGAAACACCUGUGCUUUGAUGUCAGCUCUGAGAACCUGUUUGAAAUACAAGGUUGGCUUAUGGGCAUGUGUUAAAGGAAAUUGUGAAGGAGGUGGUUCAAUAUUCCAUUGCUAUUACCAUAUAGUCCUUUUUUAAUCUACCACUUUCCAGUUUCCAGUUUCCUCAAAGCUAACUAUUCUAUUCUUGAAAAUAAAUGAUAAGACUAAUAGGCUCUGGGGUAACAAUGAGCAGUUGAGAUGAUCUUGGCAAAAAAAGAAAAGAAAAGAAAAGAAAAUUGGACUUGAACUUGCUUAUAAGAACGUAUAUUGAUGUGACAGGGUGCUCUGAUACUAGGCAAGCUCCAAACGUCCUAGGUUUAACCUCUUAUUUUUUCUGUUGUCUUUCAUACUGUAGUUUUAACAUAGAGGGGAAGCUCUUUAAGUCUUUCUAGGUUUCUCAUUCAGACCUUAUAAUGUCUACAGGAAGUCCUCUUGGGUUUCUUUCACAGCACAGAAUCAUGGACGCAAUACUCAGAAGCGAUCACCUAAGUCUUUCCUUCGCAUCUCAUUAGUCACAAUCAGUCAUCUCUCCUUCAAAUUCAACAACUGACAGUAGAAAUGAAGGUGCUGUGGUGAUCUUGGACCAGUCAGCAUAUGUUACUGAAAUCUGGUAAGCAGUCACCUUUUGUGGUGGAGUGGUGGACAAAAACACAAAACCAACAUCUUAUCAGAAAGGAUUAAGGCAGUGAAUUGUUCUUGGGGAGGCAGCCAACUGGGGCAGCCAUUUAAUUUAACAGAUUAGAAGAACGAUUUAUUUUCUUAAAAAGGGCCAUAAAAUAAUUGGAUGAACUCACAAAGGUAUAAGUGUUGUCCUUAAUAAGAGACAAAUUUGGGAGUCAAUUUUGAGUCAGUUUUACAGGAUCCUUUAUAUUACAUGGUGAACGAAACCCUGUAUUACACCUUUAAGCAAAAUAAAUGUUCUUUACAUUAAAUAUCAAUUUUUACUUCAUUUAAAUAGAAACAAGGAGAAUAAUUAUAUUUAAAUAAAGUUGACAUUUUUAAUGUUUUUUAACCAUUUCUUGUGUUAAAAAUAGAAAAUUUUGCAGGAGGUGAACAUAGAUUACAUAGGUCAUCCAUAUUCUAUAUGCUAGACUCAUUGCUAUUCCAACAGCAUGAUGAUGUUUUAUUCUAAUUAUAGCACUUUAUAGGCUUAUGUUGAGCAAAACAAUUAUUUGAUAAUACCAUAAAAAUGGCCAAAAUCUACAUAUGUCUAUUUAUGAAUCAUAUUUACAGCUCAGAAUGAAACAGUGAAUUUUCCAUAGAAGGAACUCAAAAAUUUUACUUGAUGAAUUGGUUAAUGAACAAGGCCAUUUACUGACAACUUUCUGUAUGCCAGAAAGUUUAUUAUCAACUUAUUUAAUACUAACUACAACAUUGCAAGAAUGGUAUAUUUUCCCCAUUUUACAGAUGAGAUGGAGUAUAUUAAAUAUUUUUCUCUGAAGACAAAGAUUAGCUGACAGCCCAUUUUCUUUGUGGAAUGCUUCUAUUUGGAUUGACAGUUGUUGAAAGACACAGACUGAGUACCUACGUUUUUAUAGUGACAUAAUCAAAGAAAAUGUUAUUGAAGAAAAUGGUGGAAAGAAUAGCUGUUUUACUUAGCAGUGAGAGAUACAUUUCUCAGUUCAGAGCAUGCCGGUAUACUCCAUAACCUGUAUAAAAAUUAACAUAAGUUUUUAAAUUAACAUGACAGAAGACUUUUAGUAUGGCUAACAAUGUAUAAAACUUGUAGCUAUGGCUGAGCAAUGGCUUCACUUUUUCAACCAUAUCAGAAUUCAAAUUGGUUUAAGUUAUCAUGAUACAUAGUCUAAGUUAUUUAUACUAAAUUGGAAGUGACCGCAGUCUCUGUAAUAGCAGUAGGAUAUCUUUUAUAGAUCUUUAUAAAGCCUUUAUAUAAAAGUAUAAAAUGUGUAUACUUUGUAAUAUUUUACUGAUAUAAUCUAAAGCCAAAUGCACUUGAAACAUCUUUUCCUUUCCUUCCUUUUAGUUUUCUUGUAGUUGCCUAUGAUCUAUAAAAGGCAAAAAAUCUCAUUUGAAUAGAGUAAAAGGAUUAGUUAUUACUUGUGCAUAGACAAACUUUUAAGGAUUCAGCUGUGUCAGUGAUAGAUGGAUAGACUGCUGAGAAACCAUUUGAGAUUUCUGUGAUUAGGUUAGACAGGUCCCAACUCCUAUUAGUAAGUGUUGCCUUGUUCUGUUACAGAGAGGAGGCAGCUGUCUUCUUCAGUUUUCCCCCUGGUGCUGUCUGCUUUAACUGAGCCUAUAACAUUUUCGACAAGCAAAUCAGGAAGGACUUUGCAGACAGAUGGCGAAGCUGCCUAUGCUGUCUCAUUUACAUGCAACUGUGGUUCCUAGUUGUACUUGAGCCAUAUGCAGGGGUUUCGUGUUCCCUUUGGAUUGGUUUUAAGUGCUAGGCAGACAAGUCAAAUCUACCUUGGUCUACAUUUUCCUCACAUGAUUUAAUUCAAUGAUGUUAUGCAGAGUGUCUAUCAAAAGAACUUUUGAAACUAAAAUCUUGGCUGAGUGCCAAAAUUGGUACCAAACAUAGUUAGUGAGAAUAGUGCCCUAGGAGACUUACUCACAGGAAAUGAAGACCAGAUUAUAUAAUUUAUAAGGUAAAAUAAAAUGAAACCAUAAAGAAAUUCUACUUGGGAUUUUGAAUUGCUGAAGUCUAAUGGUAGUCUAUCAAAGUACCUCUAAUACACUGGGCAAAUUAUGUAUUUUCCAUUAUGGGUUGAUCUGAAGAUAAACUAGUAUUAAAAAAUAUGCAGGGAGUUCCUGAGGUGGCACAGUGGAAACGAAUCCGACUGAGGUUGCGGGUUCGAUCCCUGGCCUCGCUCAGUGGGUUAAGGAUCUGGUGUUGCUGUGAGCUGUGGUGUAGAUCUCAGAUGGGGCUUGGAUCUGGCAUUGCUGUGGCUGUGUUGUAGACCAGUGACUACAGCUCCAACUGAACCCCUAUCCUGGUAACCUCUAUAUGCCGCAAGUGUGGCCCUAAAAAGACAAAAAUACCAAAAAAAAAAAAAUGCAAACAUUUUAACUCUUGCUUAUAACAUAUGCUUUUGAUAAUAUAUCAAGUGAACAGCAAGUCCAAAUUUUGUGGAGAAAUUUUUGCCAUGAUAACUAAAACUUUGUUAUUCAUCAGAACAAGUAAUGUCUCAGGAAAUCACACAACUAUAUAUUAUAUUUUAUUUAAAAUAAAAAAAAUGAAUUACUAGAGUUGAAGAUGAUAAUAAAUAAUUUAAGUAAUUAUUAUUAUUAUUAUUUUUUUUUUUUGGUCUUUUUGCUUUUUCCAGGGCCGCUUCCCAUGGCAUAUCGAGGUUCCCAGGCUAGGGGUCUAAUUGGAGCUGUAGCCACCAGCUUACGUCAGAGCCACAGCAAUGCGGGAUCCGAGCCGUGUCUGUGACCUACACCACAGCUCACAGCAACGCGGGAUCCUUAACCUACUUCCUUAAGGCCAGGGAUGGAACCCGCAACCUCAUGGUUCCCAGUCGGAUCCGUUAACCAUUGCACCACGAUGGGAACUCCUAAGUAACUACUUUUUACCCUAAAUUUUAAAUUAUGACAGAGUGCUUAAAUGUAUUUCAACAUGUUCUGUUAAGAAAUUUAUUUCCUAUAAUUUUGUUGUCUUCUAUGAUUCAUAAUCAAACAUAUAAAAAUAUUGUAUAUAUUAUGUUUCUAUAAUAAAAAUAUCUCACUUUAAAAAAUAAAAUUAUAGAAUUUUGAAAAUAUUUGAAAGAAAUCUACCUGUAAUGCUAUUAGCUCCAAUUACUAGCAUCAUACACAUUUCUUUCAUAUAUUAAACAUAAUUGAGAGCAAUCUGUAUAAACAAAUUAUUGCCUUAUAUUUCUUAUUAAACUCUAAACCACAAGUAUAUCCCAAAGCUAAUUCAAUUAACUUCAAAAAACUUUUUUUAAGCUGCAAUCAUUACUUUAUAGAUGCCACAGCAUAUGGAAGAUGAUUAUCAUUUUUACACAUUUGCACUAUUAUAAAUAAUUCUGUUUUGAAUAUUUUGGGAUAAAUACUUGUUUUUAAUUUAAGUGAUUUCCUUAGGAAACAUUUCUAGAUUAAAAUUACAUUGAAGAGUGAGAUUUUUUAUAAUUUUAUUACAUAUUAACCAUUGCCUUCAGAAAAAUUUAUGGUGAUUUAGCCUAUCACUGUUAGUGUGUACAUUUAUCAAACACUGCUAUAUACUUAUCUGCUAGGAUAUAUUUGGUAGUAAACAAUAUCAAUAUCAAUCUGAUUGCAUAAAUUUUCUCAUAAGCAGUUUACUGGAGGAGCAGUGUUCAUAAAUGUUUAAUUCUGUGAUGUAGCAACAUCUUUGGAUGGAGAUUACUGUUUUCCUUUUCUCUGUUAAUGUCAGUGUUAAAUUCAUCCAUAUGUUGCUAGAAUUCUGAGAACUGACCGAAAUCUAAAUCUCCAGCCAUCAUUUAAACGUGAUAAUGUCUGGAGGGCGAAAAACAGGAUUAAUCAUUCUUUUCUAUGGUUUUGUCUUUGGAGAUAGCAAACUUU
RNAcentral lists this long non-coding RNA (5299 nucleotides) under Sus scrofa (pig). Its description in RNAcentral is "lncRNA (ENSSSCG00000061908.1)". The record is from RNAcentral. Lineage: Eukaryota; Metazoa; Chordata; Mammalia; Artiodactyla; Suidae.